RNAcentral lists this ribosomal RNA (210 nucleotides) under Acinetobacter pseudolwoffii. RNAcentral describes it as "partial 23S ribosomal RNA". It matches the Rfam family "Bacterial large subunit ribosomal RNA", at positions 2739 to 2925 of the family's 2925-position model. The record is from RNAcentral. Lineage: Bacteria; Pseudomonadati; Pseudomonadota; Gammaproteobacteria; Moraxellales; Moraxellaceae.
CGCCGGGUAGCUAUGUUCGGAAGGGAUAACCGCUGAAAGCAUCUAAGCGGGAAGCCUACCUCAAGAUAAGAUUUCCCCGAGACUUUAUGUCUCCUAAAGAGCCGUUGAAGACUACGACGUUGAUAGGUUGGAUGUGGAAGCAUAGUGAUAUGUGAAGCUGACCAAUACUAAUUGCUCGUGAGGCUUGACUAUACAACACCCAAACAGUUG